RNAcentral lists this ribosomal RNA (320 nucleotides) under Arabidopsis thaliana (thale cress). The record is from RNAcentral. Lineage: Eukaryota; Viridiplantae; Streptophyta; Magnoliopsida; Brassicales; Brassicaceae.
GCAUUGUUUUCGAAUUUUUUCAUGCAUCAAAGCUCGUUAAGACUAGAUGGGGUAUCCCUACAUAGCGGGUGGGACCCACGGCGAAUGGUUCAUCAAGUCUUCAAAAAAGAAUAUAUACGAUUGCAUUGCAUAUACUAACGGAUGCGAUCAUACCAGCACUAAUGCACCGGAUCCCAUCCGAACUCCGCAGUUAAGCGUGCUUGGGCGAGAGUAGUACUAGGAUGGGUGACCUCCCGGGAAGUCCUCGUGUUGCAUCCCUCUUUUAUGUUUAACCUUUUUUUUUUUGGUUAAAACUUUAUGACUCCAUAACUUUUACACAG